GCCUUACACAUGCAAGUCGAACGGCAGCGCGGGAGCAAUCCUGGCGGCGAGUGGCGAACGGGCGAGUAAUACAUCGGAACGUGCCCAAUCGUGGGGGAUAACGUAGCGAAAGCUACGCUAAUACCGCAUAAGAUCUACGGAUGAAAGCGGGGGAUUCGCAAGAACCUCGCGCGAGUGGAGCGGCUGAUGGCAGAUUAGGUAGUUGGUGAGGUAAAGGCUCACCAAGCCUUCGAUCUGUAGCUGGUCUGAGAGGACGACCAGCCACACUGGGGCUGAGACACGGCCCAGACUCCUACGGGAGGCAGCAGUGGGGAAUUUUGGACAAUGGGCGAAAGCCUGAUCCAGCAAUGCCGCGUGCAGGAUGAAGGCCUUCGGGUUGUAAACUGCUUUUGUACGGAACGAAAAGGUCUGCCCUAAUACGGCGGGCCCAUGACGGUACCGUAAGAAUAAGCACCGGCUAACUACGUGCCAGCAGCCGCGGUAAUACGUAGGGUGCGAGCGUUAAUCGGAAUUACUGGGCGUAAAGCGUGCGCAGGCGGUUAUGUAAGACAGUUGUGAAAUCCCCGGGCUCAACCUGGGAACUGCAUCUGUGACUGCAUAGCUAGAGUACGGUAGAGGGGGAUGGAAUUCCGCGUGUAGCAGUGAAAUGCGCAGAUAUGCGGAGGAACACCGAUGGCGAAGGCAAUCCCCUGGACCUGUA
RNAcentral lists this ribosomal RNA (700 nucleotides) under uncultured bacterium. RNAcentral describes it as "bacterial SSU rRNA". It matches the Rfam family "Bacterial small subunit ribosomal RNA", at positions 46 to 739 of the family's 1533-position model. The record is from RNAcentral.